RNAcentral lists this ribosomal RNA (513 nucleotides) under Veillonella dispar. RNAcentral's name for it is "bacterial SSU rRNA". The record is from RNAcentral. Lineage: Bacteria; Bacillati; Bacillota; Negativicutes; Veillonellales; Veillonellaceae.
AACGAAGAGCGAUGGAAGCUUGCUUCUAUCAAUCUUAGUGGCGAACGGGUGAGUAACGCGUAAUCAACCUGCCCUUCAGAGGGGGACAACAGUUGGAAACGACUGCUAAUACCGCAUACGAUCUAAYCUCGGCAUCGAGGAURGAUGAAAGGUGGCCUCUAUUUAUAAGCUAUCACUGAAGGAGGGGAUUGCGUCUGAUUAGCUAGUUGGAGGGGUAACGGCCCACCAAGGCGAUGAUCAGUAGCCGGUCUGAGAGGAUGAACGGCCACAUUGGGACUGAGACACGGCCCAGACUCCUACGGGAGGCAGCAGUGGGGAAUCUUCCGCAAUGGACGAAAGUCUGACGGAGCAACGCCGCGUGAGUGAUGACGGCCUUCGGGUUGUAAAGCUCUGUUAAUCGGGACGAAAGGCCUUCUUGCGAAUAGUUAGAAGGAUUGACGGUACCGGAAUAGAAAGCCACGGCUAACUACGUGCCAGCAGCCGCGGUAAUACGUAGGUGGCAAGCGUUGUCCG